UUCGACCCCUAGCCUGGGAACCUCCAUAUGCCUGGGAGUGGCCCCAGAAAAGGCAAAAAAGACCAAAAAAAAAACAAAAACAAAAACAAAAAAAAUCACUGGAAAUUUCAUCAAUGGGACACAAAGCUCAGAGAUUUCUCUCCCCCACCCCCUCCCCUGCUUCCUUCCCUGAGGCCAGAGCUCAGGUCUGACAAUGUGCUUAAAAGAGGCAAGAAGAGGAAAGAUGUAGGAAAACCCAGGGAUAAAAUGGUGGUUGAGGUUGGGAAAAUACAACUGUCAAACAGGAAGGCCACGGCCAGGACAGGCUUUUAGUGCUCUAAGAAGUGUUCAGGGGAGUUCCUGCUGUGGCGGUUAAGGAUCCAGUGUUGUCUCUAUAGCAGCUCGGGUCGCUGCUGCGGCUCAGAUUCAACCCCUGGCCCAGGAACUUCCACCUGCCACUGGUGCGGUCAAAAAAAGAAAGACAAAGAAAAUAACAGAAGAAAAGAACCGACUCUGCCUCUACAUUUAACACUAAUUUCUUCCUUCAGUAGGUUCUCUGGAGGAGCUGAAUCGAAGCUGGACUUCGAUGGGUGGCUACAUUGUGGGCAGGGUGAAGAGUACCCCGGUGCCCCAGGAAAGCCUAUUUUCCACAUGCUGCAGCCUCUCUGUAUACAGCACCUCACUGAGCUCAAGUCUGUGAAUGAAAAGAAAUUCCUGGCUCCUUCCCGUGAGAAUUCAGCGGGAGCCUCUUCCUCUGCACAUGUGUGUUUGCCUGAAGAAAACCCCGAACAAGGGCAUAACCAGCUAAGAGUCUCCUUCCUUCUUCAAGAAACAGCGGAGGAAUGCAGCAGAGCCACGUACAGGCAUUGAUCAGCUCUCUCUCCUGACCUCAUGUGCAGAUCACACCAAAGUAGGUAGUGGUAAUACCUGCCUUAUCCGUCUCACUGAAGCUUCUCAUGUCAACAGAGUUCUCCAUCUUAUCAUCCCUCCCUCUGUACGCUUGGCUGAUGAAAUCUGUCUGAAUAAGGCCUAUGUGCUUUGGGUGGCCCACAACAAACCUCUAAGGGCGGUAAAUUGCAUCUUGGAAAUGCAGGCUCUUUGGAACUGUGUCUGCAUUCAGACUCCCGGGGAUUUCAAUGCAGAGGGACUUGCAAGGUUUGCAUUUUUCAUUCAUUAACGCUGUGUUGCUGCCAAACUUCUCUUCCUGUUAGUCAUCCAGGGAGGAGGGCUCCACACAGCGGGAGGGUCAUAAAUUAUUGUGCGGCUCAAGCCAGCCCGAAUGGAAUACCAAGAGGGCCAUAGAUCUUGGCACAGGUUUUGUGAACGUUUUCUGAGAAAUCCAAAUGUAUUGAAAAAUCACAUGUUUAUAGAGGCAUGAAAAGACUCAGGCUAUCUUUAAAUUCGGCAAGCCAAGAAUUAAGCUUGUCCUCUGUCUAAACCAGUGUGAGAAACCCAGAAUUAGAUGACUCUGGAUAGUCUGUUUUUGCGGCAUUCCAUAGAAAAAUUGCUACAGUUAAAUAAUUCUUGAUUCUUGAUCUGUGGUUCUUAACCUUUUUUUCUUUUUCUUUUUCUUUCGGUGGAUCCCUCUGAGAAUCUGAAGAAAGCUCUGGACCUUCUGACCAGAAAUUGCCCACAAAAUACUCACACAAUUGAUUGUGUAUACAGUUUCAGGAGGUUCAUGGGUCCUCUGAGGCUCAGGCAUAACCCUCACGUGAAGAAUCUCUGCUCUUUACACUAGAAGCUCCUUGAUGGCAAUGAUUAUGUCUAAUUGUUAUGUCUAAUUAUAUCUAAUCUGCAUAACAUCCCUCCUGUUUCUGCCUAACACCCCCUUACAUACUCAGAAAUUCUAUUUAGUGUUUCCUGAUGUGAACUUACAGUAAUAAAGUUCCUUUCUAUUUUUACA
Molecule: non-coding RNA, 1882 nt
Organism: Sus scrofa (pig)
Lineage: Eukaryota; Metazoa; Chordata; Mammalia; Artiodactyla; Suidae
Source: RefSeq, a predicted model, not a curated record